This 406-nucleotide ribosomal RNA is filed under the name uncultured bacterium. RNAcentral describes it as "partial 16S ribosomal RNA". It matches the Rfam family "Bacterial small subunit ribosomal RNA", at positions 30 to 526 of the family's 1533-position model. The record is from RNAcentral.
AUUGAACGCUGGCGGCAGGCCUAACACAUGCAAGUCGAACGAGUGGCGGACGGGUGAGUAAUGUCUGGGAAACUGCCUGAUGGAGGGGGAUAACUACUGGAAACGGUAGCUAAUACCGCAUACCAUCGGAUGUUCCCAGAUGGGAUUAGCUAGUAGGUGGGGUACAGGCUCACCUAGGGCACGAUCCCUAGCUGGUCUGAGAGGAUGACCAGCCACACGUGGACUGAGACACGGUCAAGACGCCUACGGGAGGCAGCAGGGGGGAAUAUUGCACAAGGGGCGCAAGCCUGAUGCAGCCAUGCCGCGUGUAUGAAGAAGGCCUUCGGGUUGUAAAGUACUUUCAGCGGGGAGGCGUUACCCGCAGAAGAAGCACAGGCUAACGCCGUGCCAGCAGCCGCGGUAAUUC